CAAUAGCGUAUAUUUAAGUUGUUGCAGUUAAAAAGCUCGUAGUCGGAUUUUGGCUGAGAACGAUCGGUCCGCCGUUAGGUGUGCACUGAUUGGUCUCAGCUUCCUGGUGAGGAGGUGUGCUUCACGGCCACUUAGUCGCCGUGGUUACUUUGAAAAAAUUAGAGUGUUCAAAGCGGGCUUACGCUUGAAUAUAUUAGCAUGGAAUAACACCAUAGGACUCCUGUCCUAUUUCGUUGGUCACGGGACGGGAGUAAUGAUUAAGAGGAACAGUUGGGGGCAUUCGUAUUUCAUUGUCAGAGGUGAAAUUCUUGGAUUUAUGAAAGACGAACUUCUGCGAAAGCAUUUGCCAAGGAUGUUUUCAUUGA
This 365-nucleotide ribosomal RNA is filed under the name uncultured eukaryote. RNAcentral's name for it is "partial 18S ribosomal RNA". It matches the Rfam family "Eukaryotic small subunit ribosomal RNA", at positions 592 to 976 of the family's 1831-position model. The record is from RNAcentral.